GAGCCAGUGGUUGAUAGUGGGGUGGAAGUUGCCGCUAACGAGCCUCUUCAAGAAGCCCAAAUUACAGACCAUGGGAAGCAUGUUAUACGUUACAGCAGGAUGUGCACAAACUUUAAUAAGAUUGUGAGACCUUUUAUGGCUGAUGACGAGGGGUAUGCCAUAGUAUCAAAACAAGUGAGUGCUCUACAAUCUAAGCUUGUUGCUUUGGGGGAAAAGGAGAGCGUCAAGUAUUCUUCCGGGGCUGGAGUGUGAACAAGUUGAUAUUGAACAACCCGCUGCGUCAAGGCCGCAGAACAAAUCGCGCAAAAAACAAGCUCAUCAACCGGAGGGGGUGGGGAUCCAAAUCUGUCACAACAGCCUAAUGGCUCGCAUGUUGCUGGUGCUGAGAUUGGGGACCCACCAAUAACAAAGAAGCAAGGGCGUCCAAGGUCAAAGAGAUACAAGACAGGGUUGGGGUUGCUUCCCCCCAAAAAAACCACCGUGUGGAUAUUGUGGUUCAACAGAACAUACCGCAUCGACUUGCCCCGCCAAGCCGGCAAGAAAGCAAACAAAAGAACUCUCGGAUAAAUCACUAAAUGAGGUUGCUGCUGCGUGAAAAAACAAGAUGUGUUGCAGGGGGAUGCAUCUAACAUUUUUUCCACUUCCUUGUAAUUUAUUAAACUGCAAUUAGUGAUUUAUGAUUUUAUUAAAGCAUUGUGUGUGGUGAUGUAAUAAUGAAUAGUUGAUGCUUUUGUAUAUUUCAGACUUGCUAUAUAUAUGGAUAAAUAUACUUUUAAUAAAA
Molecule: long non-coding RNA, 781 nt
Organism: Panicum virgatum (switchgrass)
Lineage: Eukaryota; Viridiplantae; Streptophyta; Magnoliopsida; Poales; Poaceae
Exons: 2
Source: RefSeq, a predicted model, not a curated record